CAACAGGGAUUGCCCCAGUAACGGCGAGUGAAGCGGCAACAGCUCAAAUUUGAAAUCUGGCCCUCGGGUCCGAAUUGUAAUUUGUAGAGGAUACUUUUGGCGAGGUGCCUUCCGAGUUCCCUGGAACGGGACGCCAUAGAGGGUGAGAGCCCCGUCUGGUCGGAUACCAAGCCUCUGUAAAGUUCCUUCGACGAGUCGAGUAGUUUGGGAAUGCUGCUCAAAAUGGGAGGUAUAUGUCUUCUAAAGCUAAAUAUUGGCCAGAGACCGAUAGCGCACAAGUAGAGUGAUCGAAAGAUGAAAAGCACUUUGAAAAGAGGGUUAAAAAGUACGUGAAAUUGUUGAAAGGGAAGCGCCUAUGACCAGACUUGGGCCCGGUGAAUCAUCCAGCGUUCUCGCUGGUGCACUUUGCCGGGCACAGGCCAGCAUCAGUUUGGCGCGGGGGAUAAAGGCUUUGGGAAUGUGGCUCCUCCGGGAGUGUUAUAGCCCAUUGCGUAAUACCCUGCGCCGGACUGAGGUACGCGCAUUGCAAGGAUGC
RNAcentral lists this ribosomal RNA (535 nucleotides) under Paracorniculantispora psalliotae. Its description in RNAcentral is "eukaryotic LSU rRNA". It matches the Rfam family "Eukaryotic large subunit ribosomal RNA", at positions 66 to 626 of the family's 3401-position model. Lineage: Eukaryota; Fungi; Ascomycota; Sordariomycetes; Hypocreales; Cordycipitaceae. The record is from RNAcentral.